CCUACGGGAGGCAGCAGUGGAGAAUAUUUCGCAAUGGGCGAAAGCCUGACGCUGCGACGCCGCGUGAGGGAUGAAGGUCUUCGGAUCGUAAACCUCUGUCAGCAGGGAAGAAAGGUCACUGUGCUAAUCAGCAGUGAAUUGACGGUGCCUGCAAAGGAAGCACCGGCUAACUCCGUGCCAGCAGCCGCGGUAAUACGGAGGGUGCGAGCGUUAAUCGGAAUUACGGGGCGUAAAGCGUGCGUAGGCGGUAUGUCAAGUCAAGGGUGAAAUCCCCGCGCUCAACGUGGGAACUGCCUUUGAAACUGGCAAACUGGAGUGUGUGAGAGGAUAGCGGAAUUCCCGGUGUAGGAGUGAAAUGCGUAGAUAUCUGGAGGAACAUCAGUGGCGAAGGCGACUAUCUGGCACAUAACUGACGCUGAGGAGCGAAAGCGUGGGUAGCAAACAGGAUUAGAUACCCUAGUAGUC
RNAcentral lists this ribosomal RNA (465 nucleotides) under uncultured bacterium. RNAcentral describes it as "partial 16S ribosomal RNA". It matches the Rfam family "Bacterial small subunit ribosomal RNA", at positions 338 to 795 of the family's 1533-position model. The record is from RNAcentral.